UGAGUAACCUGCCCUUAACUCUGGGAUAAGCCUGGGAAAACUGGGUCUAAUACCGGAUAUGACUCCUCAUCGCAUGGGUGGGGGGGUGGAAAGCUUUAUUGUGGUUUUGGAUGGACUCGCGGCCUAUCAGCUUGUUGGUGAGGUAACGGCCCACCAAGGCGACGACGGGUAGCUGGUCUGAGAGGACGACCAGCCACACUGGGACUGAGACACGGCCCAGACCUCCGUACGGGAGGCAG
Molecule: ribosomal RNA, 239 nt
Filed under: uncultured bacterium
Lineage: Bacteria
Description: partial 16S ribosomal RNA
Rfam family: Bacterial small subunit ribosomal RNA
Source: RNAcentral